RNAcentral lists this long non-coding RNA (2553 nucleotides) under Numida meleagris (helmeted guineafowl). Its description in RNAcentral is "lncRNA (ENSNMEG00000021791.1)". The record is from RNAcentral. Lineage: Eukaryota; Metazoa; Chordata; Aves; Galliformes; Numididae.
AUGACACGCUUCUCUGUGAUGACGAUGACUAUGACACGCUCCUCUGUGAAGACGACAACGACGAAUCGCUCCUCUUUGACGACAACGAUGACGACACGCUCCUCUGUUAUGACGAUGAUGCGCUCCUCUCUGACAACGACGCGCUCCUCUCUGACAACGACGACGACGCGCUCCUCUGUGACAACGAUGACGACGAUGCCCUCCUCUGUGAGGACGUCAAUGACAAUGCGCUCCUUUGAGAUGACGAUGGUGACGCACUCCUCUGUGACAACAACGACAACUCGCUCCUCUGUGACAAUGAUGACAAUGACGACGCACUCCUCUGUGACGACGAUGAUGGCAAAUCGCUCCUCUUUGACGACAAGUAUGACGACACGCUCCUCUCUGAUGACGAUGACGACGUGCUCCUCUCUGACGACAAUGACGACGAUGCACUCCUCUAUGACAAUGAUGAUGACGGCGCCCUCCUCUGUGAGGACAUCAAUGACGAUGCGCUCCUUUGAGAUGACGAUGACAACGCACUCCUCUAUGACAACGACAACUCACUCCUCUGUGACAACGAUAACGAUGACAACACACUCCUCUGUGACGGUGACCUCCUCUGCGAUGACGACGACGACGACAACUCACUCCUCUGUGACAACGAUAACGAUGACAACACACUCCUCUGUGACGGUGACCUCCUCUGCGAUGACGACGACGACGACAACUCACUCCUCUGUGACAACAAAGUCAACGAUGACUCGCUCCUCUCUGACGAUGACGACAAUGACGACGCCCUCCUCUCUGAUGACGAUGACAACGACGUGCUCCUCUGUGAUGAUAAUGAUGACGACGAUGCGCUCCUCUGUGACGACGAUGACGAUGACACGCUCCUUUGUGACGACGACGACAACACCACGCUCCUCUGUGACAACGAUGAUGACGGCGACGACUCAGUCCUCUGUGACUAUGAAAAUGACUCGUACCUCUGUGACGACGAGAAUGACAACGCGCUCCUCUGUGACGACGAUGACAACAACAUGCUCCUCUGUGACAACGACGAUGACGCACUCCUCUGUGACGAUGACAACGGCAACGACUCGGUCCUCUGUGAUGACGACGACAACUUGCUCCUCUGUGACGACGACGACGACGACUCGCUCCUCUGUGACAACGAUGAUGACUAGAAUGCGCUCCUCUGUGACGACGACAACGAAUCGCUCCUCUUUGACGACAACGAUGAUGACACACUCCUCUGUGACAACGACGAUGACGACGACACACUCCUCUCUGACGACGAUGACAACGAUGCGCUCCUCUGUGACAACGACGAAUAUGAUGCGCUCCUCUAUGACAACAAUGCCGACGAUGCCCUCCUCUGUGAGGACGUCAAUGACGAUGCGCUCCUUUGAGAUGACAGUGAUGACGCGCUCCUCUGUGACAAUGACGUCGAUGACGACACACUCCUCUGUGACGACGAUGACAACGACAACUCACUCUUCUGUGACGAUGACGAUGACGACGACGCGCUCCUCUGUGACAACGAUGACGACUAGAACGCACUCCUCUGUGAUGACGACGACAACAAUGAUGCGCUCUUCUGUGAGGACGACGAUGCGCUCCUCUUUGACAACGACGACGACGACUCACUACUCUGUGAUGAUGAUGACAAUGACAACGCGCUCCUCUGUGACAGCAACGACAAUGAUGUGCUCCUCUGUGAUGACGACAACGACUAUGACGCGCUCGUCUGUGACGACAACGACAACGGAUCACUCCUCUUUGACGACAACAAUGACGACACGGUCGUCUGUGAUGACGACGACGACACACUCCUCUGUGACAUCAGAGUCAACGACAACGCGCUCCUCUGUGACGAUGACGAUGAAAACGACAUGCUCCUCUGUGACUACCACGAUGACGGCGACUUGCUCCUCUGUGACGACAACGAUGACGCUCUACUCUGUGACAACGAUGAUGACGACGACGCACUCCUCUGUGACAGCGACGACGAUGGUGACACGCUCCAUCGUCACAGAGGAGUGUGUCGUCGUUGUCGUCACAGAGGAGCGCGUCAUCGUCACAGAAGAGUGCAUCAUUGUCAUCACAGAGGAGUGUGUUGUUAUCGUCGUCACAGCGGAACGCAUAAUCGUCGUAGUCAUCAUCAUCACAGAGGAGCAUCUUCAUUAUCAUCGUCGUCACUGUCACAGAGGAGUGAGUCGUAAUUGUCGUCAUCUUCACAGAGGAGCGAGUUGUUGUCAUUGUCAAAUAGGAGUGAGUCGUCAUUGUUGUCGUUGUCACAGAGGGGCGAGUUGUCAUUGUCACAGAGGACUGAGUCGUUGUCAUCAUCACAGAGGAUCGCAUCAUUGUCGUCGUCAUCACAAAGGAGCAAGUCGUCGUCGUCGUCGUUGUCAUCAUCAUCCAUCGUCGUCACAGAGGAGUGAAUCGUCGUUGACUUUGUUGUCAAAGAGGAGUGAGUUGCCGUCGUCGUUGUCGUCUCAGAGGAGUGAGUCGUCGUUGUCGUCGUUGUCACAGAGGAGCACGUCGUCAUUGUCGUCAUCGUCGUCAUAG